UACACUCCUGCGGGAGGCAGCAGUGGGGAAUAUUGCACAAUGGGCGCAAGCCUGAUGCAGCCAUGCCGCGUGUAUGAAGAAGGCCUUCGGGUUGUAAAGUACUUUCAGCGGGGAGGAAGGCAAUACGGUUAAUAACCGUGUUGAUUGACGUUACCCGCAGAAGAAGCACCGGCUAACUCCGUGCCAGCAGCCGCGGUAAUACGGAGGGUGCAAGCGUUAAUCGGAAUUACUGGGCGUAAAGCGCACGCAGGCGGUCUGUCAAGUCGGAUGUGAAAUCCCCGGGCUCAACCUGGGAACUGCAUUCGAAACUGGCAGGCUUGAGUCUUGUAGAGGGGGGUAGAAUUCCAGGUGUAGCGGUGAAAUGCGUAGAGAUCUGGAGGAAUACCGGUGGCGAAGGCGGCCCCCUGGACAAAGACUGACGCUCAGGUGCGAAAGCGUGGGGAGCAAACAGGAUUAGAUACCCUAGUAGUCCCAUGA
RNAcentral lists this ribosomal RNA (477 nucleotides) under uncultured organism. Its description in RNAcentral is "partial 16S ribosomal RNA". It matches the Rfam family "Bacterial small subunit ribosomal RNA", at positions 332 to 800 of the family's 1533-position model. The record is from RNAcentral.